Molecule: transfer RNA, 69 nt
Filed under: Ovis aries (sheep)
Lineage: Eukaryota; Metazoa; Chordata; Mammalia; Artiodactyla; Bovidae
Rfam family: tRNA
About the family: Transfer RNA (tRNA) molecules are approximately 80 nucleotides in length.
Source: Rfam by way of RNAcentral
GAAAAUGUAGCUAAGUUGGUAAAGAAUCUGCCUGCAAUGCAGGAGACCUGGGUUCAAAUCCCUGUGUCA